UUUAUGAUUAUAAUUUUAAGUUGACUCUGCCCANUGAAUUUAUUUUAAUGGCUGCAGUAUUUUGACUGUACAAAGGUAGCAUAAUAAAUUGCUUUUUAAUUGAAAGCUUGAAUGAAUGAGGUGAUAAAGUAUAAGCUUUAUUUAAAUAAUAAAUUGAAUUUUUUUUUUAAGUAAAAAAACUUAAAUUUUUUUAAGGGACGAGAAGACCCUAUAGAAUUUUAUAUAAAUUAAUAUUAAUAUAUUAAUAUUAAUUUAUAUUUUUUUGGGAGGAAAUUUAAAUUUUUAAACUUUAUUUUAUUAAUAACAUAAAUAAAUGGUUUAUUUUAAAGAUUUUAAAAUUAUAAAUUUAAAAUUAAAUUACCUUAGGGAUAACAGCGUAAUAUUUUUUGAAAGUUCUUAUAGAAAAAAAUGAUU
Molecule: ribosomal RNA, 414 nt
Filed under: Epyris sp.
Lineage: Eukaryota; Metazoa; Arthropoda; Insecta; Hymenoptera; Bethylidae
Description: partial large subunit ribosomal RNA
Source: RNAcentral